CCAAGCCUUAGUUGACUAGAAAAUGUUGCCUCAGUCCAUCGUCGAAUCAAACUACCGAUUACACCCAUCGUCAUCUCACCUACAUCUACCCAAAACUCAAUCAUUUUCUCACCCAUCCUUGCUGAGAACAGGGAAGUCAGACAUGGCCACGGGAUAGAAGCCAUUGAUAUUCUCAUCUCCAUUCUAAUAUCAAAAAUCAAAGCUUUGGGCUUUGGAGUCUAGAUUGGGAUCAGUUCACUGCUACGGUAAGCUCUUAUGCUAUGCAGUUGGUAUUUUCGAAUUGAUCUAAAUGUUUUUGAAUCAAGGUCUGGAAUUGAGGGAAAGAUAGAGGAGUGGAGCUGGAUUUUGAUCGAAAAACUCUGGCAAGUGAAAGGUUGGAGUUGUGCAAUACGUUAGGUGAAGGAGAGAGAUUUUGGGUGAAGGCUCCUUGACUGGGUAUUGAUCAAAUUCAGGUAAUUACCUUCUUAUUAUGAAUUCAAUUCCUAUUUGGAUUCAAUUGGAGUUAUUAAAGGGAAUUGGUGUUGCGGUAGAGUUGUCUGGAAUGUUUGAAUUCAUAAUCAUGUUUUGAGUUCAAUUGAUUUAAUUAUAGUUGGUUUGUUGAUUGAGAGUUGGAGUUGGAAUAAGUUGGACAUUGGAGAAUUGUUACUGAAGGCUUAAUUAACUUAGUUAGGAUUGUUUUGAUACUUGAAUGAGAUUGCUGUGUGGUGAUUGUAGAUUACGUUGGAAAGCUUGUAUGAAGAUGUUGCUGGGACUUUAUUUCUUGUUGAGAUGAUGAUGUUCUGUUUGGACUUCAUGAGACAAAUUAGCUCAAUUGUUCAAUUGUUUGUUAAUAAUUAAAGUGAGACAAGUUGGCUGGUUAUUUAACAAUUAGAGUGUUAUAUGCUCUUUGUUGGAGUAUGGGUAUAAGCUUUAUUAAAGGUUGCCUGGAGGUAGGGUCAUUCCAUUGUAAAUUAGCUUUGUUGUUCUUGUAAUUCUGGAGUGAAUAAGGGAUACAUAUAUGUAUAAUUGUCUUCUUCUAGGAGUUAAGUUGCAGACGUGAGUGAGUACUUGGCAGAAACUAGAUUACAAUUAGAGGCUUGGUUUGGCAUUGUUUAAGCUAGUGAACCUAAAGGCUUGGUUUGGUCUGGGAAUAUAUUUACGUAAUGUAUGAUUGGUCGAAACGACGACCCCGAGUUCAUAUACCGCACUUGGAGCCUGCAUUGAAGGUGAACCUAGCACUAACAACGCAUUUGAUUUUCAGAAUCUCAUGGCAGUUUUUGAUAGGCAAAGUACUCUAGAGGUGAGAGUGUUGAGCAUGAGUCUUAAUUUGAAGGUUUGCCAAAUGACUUUCUUCAUUUUAUGGUGCAAAGAAACAAAUUUGCAACUAACACUUGCAAAUGAUUUCAUUUACAUCCCUCAUAUAUACUAUAUUUUGUUCCGAUACAGGUAAAGGAGUUUCAGUUUGGCAAAAGUUACUGGAAUCUCAAAUUAGGUUCUCCUCUGUUGCUACCUUUUUUUGUUUUUGGGUUUGAAGCUUCUUUUGCAUUUCCACUGAGUCAUAUCAAAAAAAUUUGACAGGAUGAUUGGUGAUUGGAAAUUGAACGACUGCAUGCAUUCUAUGUUUUCUUCUGUGUAGUAAUUUCGAAAUAUUUAGGUUAGCACUUGAAAUUAGUAGCGUUUUUUAUUUAUUUUUAAUAUCUUUGUUCUGUAUUAUGUAUAUAGGGUUUAGAGCUGGUAAGGAAAUUCAAUAACCUUAACAAUGAGUCUGAAAUUCAAUUGUGGAGUGGUUUCCAAUUAAAUUUUAAACUCAUUGAAAGUGGUUGAAUUUCUUUGUAGCUGUCUUUACGGUAACCUUGGAGAUCAUGUGUUGCUAUUGCUUUGUUUCGAGUUUUCAACAAUCUUAGUUAUUCCGGACAAAUUACAAUUUUCAUUUGGUGUUUUAGGACUGAGGUAUUGGUUUUCAGAUUUUAGAUAGUUUUUCGGUUCUUUAUUUGGAUAAUUUUGCAUUUCUAACUUUGAAUCAGCUCUGGUAUCCCUACACCUGAAUACAGAUCGAGGCUUCUUUUUUUCCUUCCCUAAUUUCGUUGUCCUCAUCCUGACGCCUUUAUCAUCUAAAAACUUCACUUGAUUGAAACCAAAUUUCUAUUUUUUGAGCCUGACUGUAUGGUCCUGAGCUUUGUUUUUGUGUAUAUUUAUGUAAUUUAUGAUGUUGGUUGCUAUUAAUUUUUUUGUUUUUGUUUUUUUACUCCUUCAUAUGUAUAUCUGAAUGCAUCUACUUUAUGUUUUAGCUCAAGUAAAUCCCCCAAUAUUAGUGGUGUUAGUGUUAAGAUGGGUGCAUAUGCUUUGGGAAUUAUUUUUUGUAGUGAUUCAUUAACAUGGAAUUGUUCUUAUAAGGAAAUUGAGACAGCAAAGAAAACUAAAUGUAGAAAUUCGUCAUUGCAAAAUAACUACAGUUUUAAAUAUAGAAGCAUGUGUUGUGAGUGGAAACCAUUAUUUAGACUACUAGAUUCCUUUUUGCUCAUUUGUAAUAGUGGUAUUAACUAGGAAAGAGGAAGAGGUUGAGCAGGAUGAGUUUUUGGGGGUAAGUUCUGUUUUUCUUUUGUCGUCUUCUUCUUUGAAGGCUUCCAAUUUGUCUAAUUUCUGUUAAGUGUGGUUUUGUUGCAGUUGACUACCAUUUGAUUGGAUCCAGUGGAUUAUUGUCUGAUAAAGAGCGUACGGAUUAAUUCCUGGAUGCUAUGAUGCCUCGACAGAGGAGGAUUAGAGGAGAUAUGUCUUUGCAAAAUGCUGAAAACACUACAUUCGAAGUUUGUACUAGGAAACGAAACAAAAUGAGACCUGGUACAAAAUUGUUUGAUGUUAUUGGAAAGCCUAUCAGCAACAACAAAUCUCCUCCUUUAUACAAUGAAAGAUUCAAGUCAGUAGGUUUCGAGAAGUUCAUGUAAAUUCUUUUUGGUAGGAUUCAAGUUAGUAGUUUGAGAGUCAUGUGACAACAUUGCAAAUUUUCUCCACACUUACUCAUCAACUGACUUUUCUGGAUUUAGAUUCAUAUUUGUAUCGUUAUAUAUGCUUAGACCUUAGUAUAGACCUGGAAUAAAAAUAUCUUUGGCAAGGUGUUCUUGCUCUUUACUAUAUAUAAAAUGUAGAAAAAAACUCCUUCCCCGCAGCAUCGUGCGGGUGAGUUAUCUAGUGUAUAUAAAAUUUCAUUGAAAUCGGAGUAGUUUAGGCUAGGUUUUUAUUUUCGUUUUGGUUUCUGGUCAGAGUCGUAGUUAAUCUGUUCUUUUUUUUUUCUUUCUAUUUUUCUUUUCUCUGAAGCUCAUUACAUUUAGUUGUGAAUCGCUAUGGCUCUUAGACUCCUUUCUUCCUGUGCAGGUGUAAAAUUUCUCCUUAACAGGAGUUCUGGAGGAUUAUGGGAAGUUGCUGCACUAAAUUGUUUACCUCUGAGCCUUGAUGCUCGAUGGGAUAUCUUGUUAAUCUCUAGUUCAGUUUUCCCUGAUCCCUUCCUAUUAUUUAUAAAUUGUUAUCUCUGAGCCUUGGUGCUCGAUGUGCAGAUUUCACUCUCUUUAUGGCGUGCAAGUGAAAACAUAAAUGUGGUUUUGCUCAUAUUUGCAUAAGAGUGAGAAAGAAAAGAAAAUUACUAUUACCCAGUGGAGAAUGCUGAUGUUGUCUGGGCAGAGUGGGCGAAGUAUGUUCUUAAGUUCAAAGAUAACUAGUGUGUAGGUUAAUUAGUAGUUGGGGAUAUGUAGCAUCAACAUUUAGACAUGCAUAGUUGAUAUAUAUAUAUAUAUAUAUAUAUAUCUGCUAGCUAUUUUGCUAUGUUGUCUAGUGCUUCUGAAUUAUUUAGCAAGCAGUGCUGCAUGCAUAUAUUUUGAUGGCUGCUCAGAUUAGUAGAUAUGAGCCUUUUAUAACUAAUGCUCAUCAUGAUUAGGUUUGUGUACAUGAGACAAUGGUGGAUUAAUGGAAAUUGCAAUGAAUGAUUUUGGAUGUGGA
Rosa chinensis is the source of this 3966-nucleotide long non-coding RNA. RefSeq lists it as uncharacterized. NCBI's taxonomy places the organism in Eukaryota, Viridiplantae, Streptophyta, Magnoliopsida, Rosales, Rosaceae. The record is from RefSeq and is a predicted model, not a curated record. The transcript has 3 exons.